UUUUUUUUUUUUUACGGAGCCUCGGUAAACGAGGAGCAGCGCAAGGUGGGAGGAGGAAGCGCGGAGCGGAAGGGAGCGGGGAUGAGCGAUGAGGGAUAACAAAGAGUCAGGUGCAGCGCCCUCACGGCCGCUCCUGGAUGGCUCUGGUCUUUAAGCACUCCCCUCACAAUUAAAUAAGAAAACGGGAAAAGCCGCGGAGGCAAAAGCCGCGUUUGUGCCGGCAGCUGCAGCGCUGAGAGAGGCGAGUGCAUUGUGCGGGGAGCGGGUGGCGGGCGGCCGUCCCACCCCACCCCAUCCCACCCAUCCCAUCCCAUCGAAUCCCAUCCCAUCCCGGGGGAAGGCGCGCCUGGCGCGGGCACGGCCGCACCCCGCGCUCGCACCGCGUCCUGCGGCUCCGCAUCGGAGCGGGACUCCCAGGGCUGGAUGUCGCCGCGGAGCCAAACAAACCGGGAGCAGAGACGGGGAUUUCAGCAAUGGCGAAAGGGGGGCGAGCAUCUCCAUAAAUAGGAAUGCAGACAGUCUGGAGUGAGUGUGCCUUUCUGAUACGGAAUUCAUGGAUGGGAGGGCUUGGAAUGUGCCUGACUUGGAAAGUAUUUAGUGGUCAGUGGAAAAAAAUGAGGAAGAGGAGGGUGUGGCUGCUGCUGGAAGGCUCUGGCCCUGCAAAGGGUCCCUGGCUUGUAGAGAUGUGGUCCUGCAUCGUCACAAAAUGAAGACCUCUUACAGGUAAAACUGAGCUAUUCUUUUUUUGUUGUUGUUAUUAAUCAGAAAACAAGCCAGCAUCUAAUCCUGCUGUUUCGUAUGCCUGUUUCUGAAGCCUGGUCAGUGGCCCUCACUUGAGUUUGGUAGCUUUAUUCACAUCUUGUUUUGCUCCAGACUUGUCAAUUCUUUCCCUAAUCAGUCAUGACAAGAGCAACAAAAACUAGUUUAAGCUCUGCAGAGUAAUAAGAAAAGUAGUUUGAUGUUUUGUUU
Long non-coding RNA from Passer montanus (Eurasian tree sparrow), 969 nucleotides. RefSeq lists it as uncharacterized. The record is from RefSeq and is a predicted model, not a curated record. The transcript is spliced from 3 exons. Lineage: Eukaryota; Metazoa; Chordata; Aves; Passeriformes; Passeridae.